This 447-nucleotide ribosomal RNA is filed under the name uncultured bacterium. RNAcentral's name for it is "partial 16S ribosomal RNA". It matches the Rfam family "Bacterial small subunit ribosomal RNA", at positions 29 to 523 of the family's 1533-position model. The record is from RNAcentral.
AACGAACGCUGGCGGCAGGCUUAACACAUGCAAGUCGAGCGCCCCGCAAGGGGAGCGGCAGACGGGUGAGUAACACGUGGGAAUCUACCCAUCCCUACGGAACAACUCCGGGAAACUGGAGCUAAUACCGUAUACGCCCUUCGGGAGAAAGAUUUAUCGGGGAUGGAUGAGCCCGCGUUGGAUUAGCUAGUUGGUGGGGUAAAGGCCUACCAAGGCGACGAUCCAUAGCUGGUCUGAGAGGAUGAUCAGCCACAUUGGGACUGAGACACGGCCCAAACUCCUACGGGAGGCAGCAGUGGGGAAUAUUGGACAAUGGGCGCAAGCCUGAUCCAGCCAUGCCGCGUGAAUGAUGAAGGCCUUAGGGUUGUAAAGUUCUUUCACCGAUGAAGAUAAUGACGGUAGUCGGAGAAGAAGCCCCGGCUAACUUCGUGCCAGCAGCCGCCGUAA